AAGUCGUAACAAGGUUUCCGUAGGUGAACCUGCGGAAGGAUCAUUCAUACAUUCAUAGUAACUAUGUGUUUUAUUUUAUUUAUUAUUUUCCCGUAUCGUAUUUGUUAUAUGUUUCAUCAGAUAACAAAUCAAUGAGAAAUGAAGGCUAUAAAUGAAAGUGAAAUUAUUGAGACAAAUUUUAUGUGUACUGUAUUCAGGGCGAUGUAUUUUCUCCUGAUUUAAUUUCUUAUAAUUUAAUCUAUAACGAAAUUUUAUUAUUAAACAAAUUAAUAUUUUGAUGUAAUUAAUAAAUUAAAAAAUUUAAAUAACAACUUUCAACAAUGGAUCUCUUGGCUCUC
Molecule: unclassified non-coding RNA, 338 nt
Filed under: fungal sp.
Lineage: Eukaryota; Fungi
Description: partial internal transcribed spacer region
Rfam family: Eukaryotic small subunit ribosomal RNA (bases 1-46)
Source: RNAcentral